RNAcentral lists this non-coding RNA (29 nucleotides) under Rattus norvegicus (Norway rat). Lineage: Eukaryota; Metazoa; Chordata; Mammalia; Rodentia; Muridae. The record is from RNAcentral.
UGGAAGCUUCAAAAUAAAAUAACAAACCC